GUUGAUGCAGACCAUAAAUUUGAGAUGAGCUAAGUGUUGAUGAUGGCCGAACCGGAGACGGGUGACGGCUUACCUGAGACUUUGUUCUCAACCAAGCCGAGGAUGCCUCCACCACCCAAUGUUUUCACAAUAACUGUUAGACUUGCUUCUUAUGUCGCCAAGCUUGAUGAUGGAAGCGAGCAACCCGUCUUCAAGGCAGUCCCAAUCCAGUGACAAGAAGGAUGUUGGCUGCGGCGUUGGCUGAUGAGGAAACACAUGCAGCACCACAACUUGAAGUUGUUGCCACUCCCAGUAGGCACAUGAUCACUAUGCCACAUAGUCUUCAAGGCAGUCCCAAUCCUGUGACAAAAAGGAUGUUGGCUA
Molecule: long non-coding RNA, 363 nt
Organism: Triticum aestivum (bread wheat)
Lineage: Eukaryota; Viridiplantae; Streptophyta; Magnoliopsida; Poales; Poaceae
Exons: 3
Source: RefSeq, a predicted model, not a curated record